CCUACGGGAGGCAGCAGUGGGGAAUUUUCCGCAAUGGGCGAAAGCCUGACGGAGCAAUGCCGCGUGGAGGUAGAAGGCCCACGGGUCGUGAACUUCGUUUUCUCGGAGAAGAAACAAUGACGGUAUCUGAGGAAUAAGCAUCGGCUAACUCUGUGCCAGCAGCCGCGGUAAU
Molecule: ribosomal RNA, 172 nt
Filed under: uncultured bacterium
Lineage: Bacteria
Description: partial 16S ribosomal RNA
Rfam family: Bacterial small subunit ribosomal RNA
Source: RNAcentral